RNAcentral lists this ribosomal RNA (447 nucleotides) under uncultured bacterium. RNAcentral's name for it is "partial 16S ribosomal RNA". It matches the Rfam family "Bacterial small subunit ribosomal RNA", at positions 29 to 523 of the family's 1533-position model. The record is from RNAcentral.
AACGAACGCUGGCGGCAGGCCUAACACAUGCAAGUCGAACGCACCGCAAGGUGAGUGGCGCACGGGUGAGUAACACGUGGGAAUGUACCCUUUGGUUCGGAAUAACGUUUGGAAACGAACGCUAAUACCGGAUGAGCCCUACGGGGGAAAGAUUUAUCGCCAAAGGAGCAGCCCGCGUCUGAUUAGCUAGUUGGUGGGGUAAAGGCCUACCAAGGCGACGAUCAGUAGCUGGUCUGAGAGGAUGAUCAGCCACACUGGGACUGAGACACGGCCCCGAAUCCUACGGGAGGCAGCAGUGGGGAAUAUUGGACAAUGGGCGCAAGCCUGAUCCAGCCAUGCCGCGUGAGUGAUGAAGGCCUUCGGGUUGUAAAGCUCUUUCGCACACGACGAUGAUGACGGUAGUGUGAGAAGAAGCCCCGGCUAACUUCGUGCCAGCCGCCGCGGUAA